RNAcentral lists this ribosomal RNA (435 nucleotides) under uncultured bacterium. RNAcentral's name for it is "partial 16S ribosomal RNA". It matches the Rfam family "Bacterial small subunit ribosomal RNA", at positions 29 to 507 of the family's 1533-position model. The record is from RNAcentral.
AGCGAACGCUGGCGGCAGGCUUAACACAUGCAAGUCGAGCGGGCACUUUCGGGUGUCAGCGGCGGACGGGUGCGUAACGCGUGGGAACGUGCCCUCUGGUUCGGAAUAACUCAGGGAAACUUGAGCUAAUACCGGAUACGCCCUUUUGGGGAAAGGCUUGCUGCCGGAGGAUCGGCCCGCGUCUGAUUAGCUAGUUGGUGAGGUAACGGCUAACCAAGGCGACGAUCAGUAGCUGGUCUGAGAGGAUGAUCAGCCACACUGGGGCUGAGACACGGCCCAGGCUCCUACGGGAGGCAGCAGUGGGGAAUAUUGGACAAUGGGCGCAAGCCUGAUCCAGCCAUGCCGCGUGAGUGAUGAAGGCCUUAGGGUUGUAAAGCUCUUUUAUCCGGGACGAUAAUGACGGUACCGGAGGAAUAAGCCCCGGCUAACUUCGUG